UACGUAGGCAGCGAGCGUUGUUCGGAAUUACUGGGCGUAAAGAGUGUGUAGGUGGUGUCGUAAGUUUGGUGUGAAAUCUCCCGGCUUAACUGGGAGGGUGCGCCGAAGACUGCGAUGCUGGAGUAUGGGAGAGGAAAGCGGAAUUCCUGGUGUAGCGGUGAAAUGCGUAGAUAUCAGGAGGAACACCUGCGGUGUAGGCGGCUUUCUGGACCAUUACUGACACUGAGACACGAAAGCGUGGGUAGCAAACAGG
This 253-nucleotide ribosomal RNA is filed under the name uncultured bacterium. Its description in RNAcentral is "partial 16S ribosomal RNA". It matches the Rfam family "Bacterial small subunit ribosomal RNA", at positions 524 to 776 of the family's 1533-position model. The record is from RNAcentral.